UACGUAGGUGGCAAGCGUUGUCCGGAUUUACUGGGCGUAAAGGGCUCGUAGGCGGCCAACUAAGUCAGACGUGAAAUCCCUCAGCUUAACUGGGGAACUGCGUCUGAUACUGGAUGGCUUGGAUUCGGGAGAGGAAUGCGGAAUUCCAGGUGUAGCGGUGAAAUGCGUAGAGAUGUGGAGGAACACCGAUGGCGAAGGCAGCCCCCUGGGUCAAGAUUGACGCUCAUGCACGAAAGCGUGGGGAGCAAACAGG
This 253-nucleotide ribosomal RNA is filed under the name uncultured bacterium. Its description in RNAcentral is "partial 16S ribosomal RNA". It matches the Rfam family "Bacterial small subunit ribosomal RNA", at positions 524 to 776 of the family's 1533-position model. The record is from RNAcentral.